Molecule: ribosomal RNA, 253 nt
Filed under: uncultured bacterium
Lineage: Bacteria
Description: partial 16S ribosomal RNA
Rfam family: Bacterial small subunit ribosomal RNA
Source: RNAcentral
UACGUAGGGUGCAGGCGUUAAUCGGAAUUACUGGGCGUAAAGCGUGCGCAGGCGGUUGUGCAAGACAGAUGUGAAAUCCCCGGGCUCAACCUGGGAAUUGCAUUUGUGACUGCACGGCUAGAGUGUGUCAGAGGGGGGUAGAAUUCCACGUGUAGCAGUGAAAUGCGUAGAGAUGUGGAGGAACACCGAUGGCGAAGGCAGCCCCCUGGGUCAAGAUUGACGCUCAUGCACGAAAGCGUGGGGAGCAAACAGG